GCGAAUUGCGUGCAGGGAGCGGCGGGAAUAGGUAGGGGGAAAGCGUUAAUCGGAAUUAUGGGGCGGAAAGCGUUGGCAGGCGGUUAUGUAAGGCAGCGGUGGAAUCCCCGGGCGCAACCUGGGAAAGGAAUUUGUGACGGUAUAGCUAGAGUACGGCAGAGGGGGAUGGAAUUCCGCGUGUAGCAGUGAAAUGCGUAGAUAUGCGGAGGAACACCGAUGGCGAAGGCAAUCCCCUGGGCCUGUACUGACGCUCAUGCACGAAAGCGUGGGGAGCAAACAGGAUUAGAUACCCCAGUAGUC
RNAcentral lists this ribosomal RNA (300 nucleotides) under uncultured Bhargavaea sp. RNAcentral's name for it is "bacterial SSU rRNA". It matches the Rfam family "Bacterial small subunit ribosomal RNA", at positions 496 to 795 of the family's 1533-position model. The record is from RNAcentral. Lineage: Bacteria; Bacillati; Bacillota; Bacilli; Caryophanales; Caryophanaceae.